CGCAGCCUGUGAGGUUGGGCUGAGCUGAAGAAACCUGCCUGGAGCAAGGUCUCCCCUCCCUCCGGGGCGUCCCACAGUGGGAGGGGCUCCUAACAGCUCUCGCCUGUACGCGCCGAGGCCGCUCUUCAUCUGCAGUCCAUUCCCCAGAGAGGCCGCCCUGCAGCAGCCCCGGAGGGCUCUGCCCCGAGCCGUCUUCGGCAGCAGCGUCUGCUUCAUCCUCACCACGCCUGCUUCGUCCUCACCACGCGUAUCGCUCGCUCACUGUGUGCAGAGCCGGCGGCGGAGGACGCUAAGUGCAUUUCUCCGUUCAGUUCUCAGGCCCACCCUGGGUCCCCGUCUCACAGAUGGAAAAUUGAGGCCCAGAGGGAUGAAUUAACAUACUCAGGGUCACAGAGAAACAGAGCUGGGAUGAGAACCCAGCCCUCCACCGUUUCCAGGAGCCCGGAAAAUGCUACGAGAACUGAGACAUUCUGAGGUUCAGAAUCUGUGUCACACCGCCAGCAAGAGGCAGAGCCGGUCUGAGUCUCCCAAGUCCAAGCCUCACGUUCUUCCCACCACCCUCAGGAUGACAUCAUCAUCUCCAUCAAUCACAUCUGUACAGACUUCGUGAGCACCAGGCGCUGCAUCCUAUGAGACGGGUGUUCUCAGAGGCGAUACGUCACCUCACGCCUGAGGAAACUGCACAGAGAGGUUCAGAGACUUCCCCAAAGUCACACAAUCAGCAAAGAGCACAAGCAGGGACUUAACCCAGGCAUCCGGCUCCAGCGUCCGUUUCUGAGGACCAGGCCGGGAGGACCCGGACAGUGACAGCUGUGAGACGCUGGCCGGUGUGGCCCAUUUAAUGCCGACUUCUUUGCAGACGACGUAGAGCAAACCUGCCUUUCCCCUGCUCCUUCCGGACCACAGUCACCCUCGCCUCGUCCAGGGCUGGUGAGCGUCCCCUGCUUCCCUGCCACAUGGGGCCGAUUUCCUAGGGAGAUGUUCUCCCCUCCAAUCUGGAAGCGUGCCGCUUAGCUGCCUCCUUGGA
This is a long non-coding RNA of Eubalaena glacialis (North Atlantic right whale), 1027 nucleotides long. RefSeq lists it as uncharacterized. The transcript is spliced from 5 exons. The record is from RefSeq and is a predicted model, not a curated record. Lineage: Eukaryota; Metazoa; Chordata; Mammalia; Artiodactyla; Balaenidae.